This 608-nucleotide ribosomal RNA is filed under the name Siro acaroides. RNAcentral describes it as "LSU rRNA". The stretch from base 230 to 608 matches the Rfam family "Eukaryotic large subunit ribosomal RNA", at positions 1 to 919 of the family's 3401-position model. The record is from RNAcentral. Lineage: Eukaryota; Metazoa; Arthropoda; Arachnida; Opiliones; Sironidae.
CCGGUUGGGCCGAAACGAGACUCGGCCAUGAGUGCGGGCUACGGAAGGUGGCCGGCCGCAGGCUCGUUCYUGCGGCCGGUGUUACAGCCAGUCCGCCACGGGCGCGUUCGCCCAACCGAGGACACCGGGCCCUGUGUGGGCCAGUUCGCAUCCUCCCCAGCAAGGAGCGGGUCGCCCGACAGGUGGUUUGGCGUGGGACCGUUUUCACCAGAGUGUGUGCGGUCCGCGACAUCCUCCGUUGGUGUUUUCGGAGCGACUCCCGCGCGGAUGCAGGACGUCGGCAGCGAGUAGGUCGGUCACCCACCCGACCCGUCUUGAAACACGGACCAAGGAGUCUAACAUGUGCGCGAGUCAUUGGGUCUUGUUCAGGCCCAAAGGCGGAAUGAAAGUGAAGGCCGAUUCCGUCGGCUGCGUUGGGAUCCCGUCUCCUCGGAGGCGGGCGCACCAACGGCCCGUCCCGAUAGCCGCGUCUAUGGGGCGGAGUGAGAGCGUACACGUUGGGACCCGAAAGAUGGUGAACUAUGCCUGGGCAGGACGAAGCCAGAGGAAACUCUGGUGGAGGUCCGCAGCGAUUCUGACGUGCAAAUCGAUCGUCAGACCUGGGUAUA